The submitters of this non-coding RNA (82 nucleotides) gave its source as unclassified sequences. The record is from Rfam.
CUGAUCGAGACGUUGGGCCAACGCCAGUGCAGCGCGCCCGGUUCCAGAGAAGAAUAUCUCUCCGGAAACGUCGAAGAGUCAG